CCCAACCCUCCUCCUUUUUCAGCCGGGCUUGGGACCGUCCAUGGCGGAGUUAGAAUCAUAAAUGCAUGAAUAUAAAUAUUUGGAAAGCACUAUUUUUCACAGUCGAUUGAAAAAAAACCCAAAAGCAGUAGUAUCCCGUUCUUUGAACUUUCACAUGUUAUCUAGGCUGUGUCUAUCCAGAGGUUUGCUCCGAUGACGAGCACGAGCGAACCAGCUUAACCGUUUGCCAGCUGGUACCAAUGAAUGAACGAAUAAAUGUUUUGGUUAUUUAGUUUUGGGGAAUUAGUAUCUGCGCUGUGCCCAACCAUGUGUCCAAAAAAACUUGCACCCGCACUGAGAAAUUUUUUGAGAAUAUCGAGCGAGGCCAUGACAGUACUGAUGAUAAUUGUUUGGGAUUUAGAAUUCUAGAAUUGCUUUUUUUACAGGGAGUUGCAUAUUCAUGUUCAGAUAUUCAAGAUCCUGAAAAAAGACGAUAAUACUAACAUUUGUUUCAGUUUCAGCACCUAUUACAGGGAUGGGGCUGCUGUUAAUAGCAGCAGCAUCACAAAAUUGGAUAUUAUUCAGAGUAAAGGUUACAGCCCACACUAUCUUUCACUAUGUAUAAUGAGUUAUAUUUAUCUUGAAUAAGCGUAUGUGUAUAAAACAGGAUGUUGAACGAGGAUUUGAUUUCAGGAAACUUAGCUUGACAUGUCAAUCCCGACAUGCAUAAAUAAAUACAUAAAUAGUUUCCUAAGGCAUUCCUUGUCAUUCCGCAGGCAGUAUUCAAAAGCGACGGUUGGUAACUUUUUUUUGUCUUUCUAUGUAGAGAAACGUUUUCAGUAAAGUCUAGAAUGUCCGACCAUAUCUGUAUUUCUAUGCUGAAACUCUCAGCAACUGCUCAGUCGAUGAAAUCUGAUGUUUGUAUUUCUAAAAUGUCUAUGGAACUUUAUAAGUGUUUUUCUUCAUAUAUUUCAAGUGGAAACGUUGACCUAACAAUUGACUGUGGGAUUACACCGGAUGUAGGACUUGCCUGCACUGUCUGUGACAUACAGUUGCAAAUCAACGGGAGAUGUUCCCAAGAAUGGUCUGUGUAACAGCUGCUGUCAUCCUUCUCUUUACCGGGAUGCCUGGGUGUAAAGCAGGCGCAUCUCAGAUGACAGACAACUGGGGUUCAGGCUGGAUGCUUCUCAAUUCCACCUACUACUACCUGUCCCUGGAAGCAGCGAACUGGUCUUCAGCCCUGACGAGCUGUAAAGAAAAAGGCGCCGAUCUGCUGUCUUUAGAAUCAUGGACAGAACAAUCACAGAAACUGAGUAAGAUGAAAUUUGCUGCCUAUGAAAGAAUCUGGUGGAUAGGACUUCAAAACAGCUCAAGUGUAAGCAAGUGGGUGUCACUCUAUGAUAACUCAUCUUUCUCAGGAGAAAUCAUACUGUGGAACGAAGGCGAGCCCAACAACGAACAGGGUCAAGAGGAUUGCGUGGAAAUGUAUCCUAUGGGUGAACUGAAUGAUGUUCCCUGCGAACCACAGCAAUCCUACAUUUGUAAGAAAUAUUUAAAGCUCGUCAACGGCUCUAGAAACAGUUGUGAUAAUAACUGGAUCCUGAUCUUGGAUUCCUGCUACUACCUUUCUACUACCCCGGCUGUGCAGUGGACAGACGCACAGAGAAAUUGUAAUGAACUCGGCGCCAACUUGCUGACCUUGGAGUCUUUAGAUGAGGUGUUGCAGAUCAGGAGAAAGACAUGGCGCUUUACUUCCAUCGACCGAUGGUGGGUGGGGUUACGGAGGGUACCAUCUAGUGGCAAGUGGCAGUGGAUCAAAAAGCCUCCGAUUUUAUCCCCUGCAGUAACCCAGUGGAAGAAGGACGUGCUCAAUACAGAGGACUGUGUGGUGAUGGACUCUGACGGAUUUCUGAGUGACAUGUCAUGUAACUCCUCUCGAUACUUCAUAUGUGUGAAAUCAAUGGAAGACGCAGACAACUGUGACUCUGGCUGGAUCAAGAUAUUCUCGAUGUGUUACAAGUUGUCGAAUAAGGCUUUAUCGUGGUCCGGUGCUCAGGAGAGUUGCAAAACCGAGGGAGGAAAACUGUUAGUUGUGAGAACUUUAAUUGAACUGGUAAAAAUACUGGAAAAUAUCAAUCUUACCAGCUCGCCAUGGUGGGUAGGACUGAAAAGGGCAUCUCCAAGUAAUUUUGACCUGAAGCAGGACGAUGGUUCAAAGGAGUGUGGAAUGAUCGCCUCUGAUAACUUUCUGGCUUUCGAGGACUGCAAAGCGUUACACUCCUAUAUCUGCCAAAAAAAUCAUAGUAAGUGGGAAACACUUUUAACAAUUCUCACGAAUUGUAAAGAUAAUGAAAUUAGAAUAGAGAGAGUUGAGUGAAAUUAUAAUAGAGUUGAUAAAUUUCGACAUUUUUGCUUGUGUUUAUGACUUUUAAGGAGCAUAACUAAUUAAACAUAAUUUUCAAGUUAAAAAGUUUGCGAGAAUCAUAAUUGCCGAUGUUUUUGAUAUCGAUGUAUUGUCAUGAUGUUCAUGUCUAAAAGUGCACGUUGAUACAUGGAUAUCAACUUCAGUUUAAGAUAAAAGUGUUAUAGGUUGUGAGACCAACACUAAGACACUAAUUUUUUUUUACCCAUUCUAGUUUUAUUCAUAGCUAUUAUGUUCACAUCAUAAAAGAAACUUUCUGUUGUCACACCUGUGGAAAAAUGUACGAAAUCCUCUUUUGUAUAUGGUGUGCAGGAAAAUGUUGCAUUAAGCGUAAACACUAUUUUUUUACACACUAAACUAUCCCGAGAGAACAAUAGAUACAAUCUGCCCACCCACACACACACUCAUGGGUGAGUAAUCCCCAGAUAGCAUGGAAACAUUUUAAAAACGUUUAAAAAAGCGCUUACAUGGUUGUAAUAAGGUUUAAGUUUUAGAUGAAACAUUUUAGAAACCAUUUAAAAACAUUUACCAAAAAAAAUUUAAUUAUUAGAAAAUAAACCAUUUAAAACAAAAAAGUUAAAUAAAUGCUUUUAUAAACAUUUAAAAGUUAACGUCUAUCACUGCGCGUCAUAAGCCCGCAGAUGACGUAAUUUUUUUUAAAACAUUUCAAAGUUUUAUUGGCUACCUUCGCGGCGUAGAUACUGACAAUCCUCACAAAAAAGCAUUUUUUAAAGACUUUGUUAUAUUUGUCUUAUCGCUAGGUUUGAUAUUUUUAAAUCAUUACAGUUUAUAAAACAUCUAUGCUACGUAACUAUAAAUAUUUGCUAUUCUUGUGGAUGUGUGUACUCCCAUGAUUCCACGCGGCGUGAAAUUUUCUCUGCUGCUUACAACACGUGACUGUGCAAAAGCAAGGUUGUAAUCUUUUGUUUUUGUUUACCACACACGUACUGCAGGUUCUUAUAAAACACUGUAUACAGUGUUCUAGUACAACACAGAUUUAAUGUAUGCUUAUCAGGUGUGAUUUGUCAAACAAAGUUUUCUUUUUGAAUAGUGCGCUCGUAUGUAAUCUAAUACCAGGGCUUCUGCUAAAUUCUUUGGGGUCCCAGGGAACCCUUCUUCAGAUUUUUAAGGGGUCCCUGUUCUUCGCCCAAAUUUGAAGGGGACCCCAUUGACGAAAAUUGAAGGGGUCCUCCGAACUUUUAAUGCGUACUGUACGCAAUGUUUUGCGUAAGCAGAAGCCCUGUAAUACGUUAAGGCAACUGAUAGUUCAAAUCAUGUCGUCCUCCUGGACGAAGCAGAGAAAGUGAAUAAAAUUGUAGAAGCAGAGUUGGCGGAAUUGAAAGAAGGAAGACAGAUCUAUUUAAUACACACCGAUACAAACAAUGGAGUGUGAGUAUGCGCUUUACAAAUUUUGCAUUUAUUAUUAUUGUUAUUAAAUCCCGUCUCCUUAUGACGUAUAUUUGUUUGUGUUUCAUUUUCUUAAUAUUUUCUUCAUGGAUGAUAGUUUUUUUUAAUUUUAUUUCUAUGGCAUCAUAACAUUGCAUACCAGAGAAGUAAAUUGCAGUCAGUACAAUCAUGUCAGCUGAACAGAUUGCUUACUAUGUUUCCUUCGUUCACAAUAAUUCCUUGAGUAUACAAGUUUGACAUAACCAUAUGCAGUCAUAAACUCUGGACUAAAUAUGACAGAUAAAGUCAAAAGUUUAACCCACUCCCAUGAAGACAAAAAGUUAGCCUUUCUGAGAAGGGUUCAUGAAUGACAAUUUAUUGUUUUCAGCACACAAUUAAAGAUGGAAGCAGACUGGCCACCAAGUAAGUUGACAAAAUAUGUGAAGGAGGGAACUCUGCCAGAUAGGUGUACCUGGAGUCUUCAUGAUGGUGGUAUUUUGGGUUCAAAGGGGUACUUUUAACCUGUUUGUUCAUUGUCAUAUAUAUAUAUAUAUUCAUAGAUUGGAUGUUGCAUCAGCCUGGUUAAUAUUGUUUUGGUCGGUCUAUUGAUACAGUUUAAAAGUAUUGUUUUUAUUUAUUUUUUAAAAAAAAGCUUUGGGAUAUUGUCAGUGUCUGUCACACAGACCUUGCUUAGGGCUUAUUGUGGUUACAGACUGGAACUGACAGCCAUAUGACCAUUAACAUCUAAAUGCUCUGUGGUCUCAGUGAACAGACUGAUUUUUCAUGUAAAAUUUGCACAGUAUUAUGUAGUAAAACAGUGCAUAUCAUUAUUCAUGAUGUAUUUUAUAACUUAAGAAAUUGUCUUUUCAGAUGAGUAUUUGGUUGUCAAAACAGCAGUUCUUAAUAGCUAGUAUACACUAUAUCUUGAAACAACACAUGUUUCUUGUUUGAAUUAUAGAAUUACAGAGAUCAAGGAAUUCAUAGGUUUGGAGAACACCUGACAAAAUCAGCACAGAUUCCCAUUAUUGUAAUUUUUCAAAAAUGCCUGUGCUGUUAAUGGGGCAUCUGUAUGAGUUCAGUAAUUAGAAUUUUUGUGGUCUGGAGCCAUGAAAUGAGAUUAGCAAUUUAACAAUAACCACGGCAAUCCUAGUUCAUCCUUUCAAUAGUUCAUUUCAAUUUUUCAUGAGGGUAAUAUUGAUAUGAUUGGUAUAGCAUAGGAAUUAUUUAUUAUUUUAUUCUUCAAUCUUUUACGUAAGAAAUUCUUAAAUUUUCAAAACUUGUCCUUUAAAUGCACACUUCUUAAUAUUUUGUAUGCUUGUUAAUUAUGCUAGGGCGAGACAGCUCACAAAAGAAAGACUACUUUAGAUCUCAAUCAGUACAUCCAGCAGCACCACUGCCAGACUGACUACAACCAAAAGUGAUAAACAACCUUUUAUGCCCACAGGUGAAUGCACUAACCACCGGAAUAUUGGCAUCAUCACGUGAGCACCCCAAUGGCCAACAUAUUGAUGCUCUGCAAAGAGUACAAAAGGAGACAGACCUCAAACUGCAGCAAUAGAAGGCGGUAUCCAGGGAGUGUCUUACAAAGCAUUAGUCCAGCACAUUCUCAAACAAGGGACAGCAUUAAAAUUGAUGUUUCAGGAAUCAAAAGAUAUGCUGAAUCAUUUGACUGCUCUGAUAAGCAAAGACAAACCUACUCCAGCACUCUGGCAGGAGUUGUUAGAGCUGCAAGGAUGCCUCAAGGAUGACUCAUGAAUUACUUGUAUGUGAAGCAGAUUUCAUUGUUAAAGUCUUUAUUAAAAUGAUAAUUUGAAAUAAUUUAUGAGAAUUUUUACACCAUAGCUUUGCGUUUUUGAAAACCGUAUGUUUUUUGUAGGGAAUACAUUUGAGCUCUUUCUGUUAGCACGUCAGGCGAUUUCUUUGAAAAUGUUUUAUAAGAAAUGAACAUUCGUAUCUUCAACAAUAGAUGGAGUGGAAUUGCCUUGCUAAUUCCAGUCUUUUGAUUUCAUGUGUCAAAAUGUGUUCUGGAGGAGGCGCAAUUAUUUAUUUGGGCCUGAAGAUUUGAUGUUUUGGUCUUCUUGACACAUUGUGCAACGCUUCGCUUGGCGGCGUUAUAAAUCUCUCUGUGGAUGGUGAGUCCAGUCUUCCGCCAAACACACUCAGCUCGCUGGCGAGUUCACUUCAGGUCGCGGAGGUCAACACGGACCUGUGAAUACCAAGGUGACCAUGUGGACUGGCGCAUCAGACGUCGAGACACUGUGGCAUGGCCAUCAACAACUCUACGCAAAACACAGUCAAGUGGCUAGGCAGAGGGUGACUGAAGUAGCGCCAUCUGUAGUUGUGUUUGGAAUGCAACUAUAUCAGCACUGCGUAACGGGCGAGUGAGUCUAAAACCUAGCGCCAUUGAUGGGCAUCUGCGAUCAAGUUCAAUCAACACACAGUAUCACAAACCUGCUGUUAUUUUUUUUUUCGCCUGGAAGGAGAUAGGAAAAGUAGUGAGUUUCUCCUUGACGGGAGCGGGGAGAGCAGUCUCCUUGGUGUUCUCAGUGCGUCCGGAGAGGACGUUUUGUUUGUAACAAGUCCUGAACCGACUUGGUGUUUUAGUCCUGACUGGACUGGGUACAAAUCCUGACCAGAUUUGUAUAGAGGAAUUGGUGUAACAUUAAACCUGUUGAGCUUAG
Molecule: RNA transcript, 6468 nt
Organism: Pomacea canaliculata
Lineage: Eukaryota; Metazoa; Mollusca; Gastropoda; Architaenioglossa; Ampullariidae
Gene name: C-type mannose receptor 2-like
Exons: 10
Source: RefSeq, a predicted model, not a curated record